Octopus sinensis (East Asian common octopus) is the source of this 97-nucleotide long non-coding RNA. RefSeq lists it as uncharacterized. Lineage: Eukaryota; Metazoa; Mollusca; Cephalopoda; Octopoda; Octopodidae. The transcript is spliced from 3 exons. The record is from RefSeq and is a predicted model, not a curated record.
UGUGGAUGUGUGCAUGUAAAGGUAAGAUCCAAAGACCGUGGUGUAGGAUGAUAGUAAGCUUCGAGCAGUCCGCAGAAGGUAUAAAAACACCUUUCAG